CCUCAGUGUCCACAUCUCCCCAAGACCUGUGACACAGCCAGGCACCCGGUGCUGUCCCACGGAUGUGUGUAAUCACACACGACACUGUGUGAGGUGCCCGUGCACCCACCCCAGGACCAUGACCGCCUCAUGGACUCCGAGGUCUCGCGACAACCUCGCUCCUGCUUCCUCUUUCCCAGGUGACCAGCUCGACUCCUGAGACUCACUAAGCACACACUUUUUGCUGCCGCUGAGGUUCAUUAAGCCUGCUUGAGAAUGAGGCCCGUUCAGAAGCAAGCAGGUCCCAGAGUCAGAGCCUUCAACCUAAGAAGUGAUUUGGGUGCCUUGAUCCAGCCACACCUGUGACCAUUCC
Heterocephalus glaber (naked mole-rat) is the source of this 352-nucleotide long non-coding RNA. Lineage: Eukaryota; Metazoa; Chordata; Mammalia; Rodentia; Bathyergidae. The record is from Ensembl.